This 253-nucleotide ribosomal RNA is filed under the name uncultured bacterium. Its description in RNAcentral is "partial 16S ribosomal RNA". It matches the Rfam family "Bacterial small subunit ribosomal RNA", at positions 524 to 776 of the family's 1533-position model. The record is from RNAcentral.
UACAGAGGGGGCAAGCGUUGUUCGGAAUUACUGGGCGUAAAGGGCGCGUAGGCGGCCUGCUAAGUCGGACGUGAAAUCCCCGGGCUCAACCCGGGAACUGCGUCCGAGACGGGCGGGCUUGAAUCCGGGAGAGGGAUGCGGAAUUCCAGGUGUAGCGGUGAAAUGCGUAGAUAUCUGGAGGAACACCAAUUGCGAAGGCAGCUCGCUGGGACGUCACUGACGCUGAGACGCGAAAGCGUGGGGAGCAAACAGG